This 1082-nucleotide long non-coding RNA is filed under the name Mytilus galloprovincialis (Mediterranean mussel). Lineage: Eukaryota; Metazoa; Mollusca; Bivalvia; Mytilida; Mytilidae. The record is from RNAcentral.
AAAUUUUCAGAUGAAUCGGACAACCUGUUGUUGGGUUGCUGUCCCUGAAUAGGUGAUUUUAGAGAAAUUUUGCUGUUUUUUGGUUAUUAUCUUGAAUAUUAUUAUAGAUAGAGAUAAACUGUAAACAGCAAUAAUAUUCAGCAAAGUAAGAUUUACAAAUAAGUCACCAUGACCAAAAUGGUCAGUUGACCCCUUUAGGAGUUAUUACCCUUUCUAGUCAAUUUUUAACAAUUUUUCGUAAAUCUUAGCAAUCUUUUACAAAAAUCUUCUCCUCUGAAACUACUGGGCCAAAGUAAUCCAAACUUGGCCACAAUCAUUUUUGGAGUAUCUAGUUUAAAAAAUGUGUCUGAUGACCCGGCCAUCCAACCAAGAUGGCUGAUAUGGCUAAAAAUAGAACAAAGGGGUAAAAUGUAAUUUUUGGCUUAUAACUCAAAAACGAAAGCAUUUAGAGCAAAUCUGACUGCGUAAAAUUGUUUAUCAGGUCAAGAUCUAUCUGCUCUGGAAUUUUCAGAUGAAUCGGACAACCCGUUAUUAGGUUGCUGCCUCUGAAUAGGUAAUUUUAGGGAAAUUUUGCUGUUUUUGGUUAUUAUCUUGAAUAUUAUUAUAGAUAGAGAUAAACUGUAAACAGCAAUAAUGUACAGCAAAGUAACACCUAAAAAUAAGUCAACAUGACCAAAAUGGUCAAUUGACCCCCUAAGGAGUUAUUGUCCUUUAUAGUCAAUUUUUAACAAUUUUCAAAAAAUUUGUUAAUUUUUACUAACAUUUUCCACCUGAAACUACUGGGCCAAGUUCAUUAUAGAUAGAAAUAAUUGUAAGCAGCAAGAAUGUUCAGUAAAGUAAAAUGUACAAACACAUCACCAUCACCAAAACACAAUUUUGUCAUGAAUCCAUCUGUGUCCUUUGUUUCAUAUUCACAUAAACCAAGGAGAGUGACACAGGCUCUUCAGAGCCUCUAGUUAUGUUUUUAUGUUAACCUGUUUGGCCCUUUUCAAGGUGUUGUUAACUGCUAAUUUCAGGUAAACUAAAGCUGUUAACUGUUUUCAACCCACUUUGUUAACUGUAAUCAGCAUUUUUGCAUGUUU